GGAACUUUCAUUCAAGGAACUGUUGAGAAAGGACACAAAACUCCCUAUGUUUCUUUCCCAUUAAUUUUCUAGCUUGCGCCAGGAGCAGUGUCAAAGUCCCAUAAUCCCGAGUGUUUGGAAGCAGUACCUGGUGGCACAAGUCUGUUAUUCCAGACACCCAAGAGGCUCAGUGGAGAAGAUCAGAAGUUCAAGGCCUACAGGGUUUACCCAACAAGCUCAAGUGUGUAGGUAUAUGCACUUGAGUGCAGGCAGGCAUCUGAGGAAGCCAGAUCGUGAGAUACCCCGGAGCUGGAGUAACAAGCAGCUGUAAGUCAACCAACCAAGGCUCUGGACUCCAAACUUGGGUGCUCUGCAAGAAUAAUGGGACCUGUUAGCCUCUGAGCCCUAACUCCAGCCCCAGAAACUGUGACUUUUAAAAAGGCUCUGACUCACCAAGAUGAUUACCAGCCUUGCUCUGCAGGCUGUUGACCGCCAGCCUUUGCUUUCCUACCUCCCAGGCCCACCCCCACCCCUGGAAAAUUUUCUUGCCUUGUUUAUCUUUUCCUGAGCUUGCCUCUCCUACCUUAUCUCCCACCCAACCAAAGUCCCUCACACCCAUUCAGUUCAGCCAACCAGCAGCCUCUCAACUCGAUCCCUAAUUUACGUACAGGCCAGAGGCAACCAGACUCUGUGCUAGGCUUAAAAAGGCACAGUCUGGCCUGUGACUCACCUUUGAGUCCACUUGCAGGUUGUAGGGAGCUGCUUCCCACCAUCAUUAAAACUUGGUUCUACCUCA
Molecule: long non-coding RNA, 775 nt
Organism: Mus musculus (house mouse)
Lineage: Eukaryota; Metazoa; Chordata; Mammalia; Rodentia; Muridae
Product: predicted gene, 40450
Exons: 3
Source: RefSeq, a predicted model, not a curated record